This 1655-nucleotide unclassified non-coding RNA is filed under the name Bombus terrestris (buff-tailed bumblebee). Its description in RNAcentral is "misc RNA ENSBTSG00005033214.1". Lineage: Eukaryota; Metazoa; Arthropoda; Insecta; Hymenoptera; Apidae. The record is from RNAcentral.
UCAAUAAUGCAAAUUAGCUGAGAAACCUUAAUUGUAACUCAAUAUUAACGAAGUCGAACUAACAUGUACUCGUAUAUUUGCAUGUUAGUGCGGAAUACUUUCCUUUCCAAUAAUCAAUAAAGUUAAGGUAUUGCGUAAGAAUCUACCUCGCAUUUAAUUUCGUUACUCAUACAGACCUGUAUCCCUACAAAAUUUAUUCGAAUGCUUAUAGGUGCUUAUGAUCAUCGCGAUCGAUUACCUCGGGUGUGGUCGGUCCAGAAGUGAAAGUACCGUCGUGACAAUAAAGAUUCUACAUUAUUAUGCCUACCAUCUUUCGUGAAACCAUUGUCGACAGUCGAAAGUCCCAUCGAAAAAAAAUAUCCAUUGCUGUAAAUUUCGUUCGUCCGAUACUUUGCUGGAGUUCGCCAUUCCGUGGUGCCAAAUGGAGAUAUUUAUGCUCUGUUAAUCAUUCGACGCUUGAAACUAAUGGAAUCUGUAAAAUAAAGUUCAGCGCCAGCCCAUUAAUAUCAACUUCGACAGACCACGAACACGGUGGUCUGCUGAGGGAGGAUUUCUCGAAGUUGUCAUUAAUCACCGUAUCAAGAACAGGACAACUUAAGAGAGACUUAGAAAGCGUCUGGUUUCCUCCAAUAAUUCCGCUACCAUGUGAUCACUGAAUUGCAAUACCACCAAGUUUAUAUUUACAUACUUGAUCUGACUAUGAUCGUAACUUUAAGGAUAGGUCAAUGCAUAUAUAAUUUAUUUCGUUUUCACGUAUUUCUAUUAAAAGGAAAGCCUACAUCCUCGAAUCAAGUACGAAAUAUGUUACUGCUAAAUUAAAGAGGUCAUUGUUAUGACAGACAGUUAUUCUAAUGAAUACAUGUAUACAUAUACAUAUACAUAUAUACAUUUAUUCUUCAGUUUGCAGAUUGCUACUGAAAUCUAAUGUAAAACUUUUUCGAUUAUAUUAAUCACAUACAUUAAUUACAUCUUUUGAAAUUUUACUACAUUAUAGAAGAUAGUACAAUCAAAUGAUUGAUUUAAAACAGGGAUAUGUUUUACCAAAAUACAUUAAAUUUUUUAAAAUUAUUACCUAAAUAAUUGCAAUUGUAAAAUAGUCGUAAUUAUUUUAAAUGUUUAAUAAUAUACAUCUUUUUAAUGUUUCGUAACGAUUUUAAGAUAUUACUAAUAAGUACAUCUUUACGCCAUCUAUCAUGAACGUAUUUCAAAUUAUAGUUUAUUUAAGAUCAUCAAGUAUGUAUUACCGUAUAUCUAAGAUAAGUGAGUAUUUGCAAAUUAAUAAAUAUGAUUCUCUGUUUUUUUCUCUCUAAAAUAAACAUUUAUCGUAAUUUUUGAUAGAAUAGAAUGUUUAAUAUUUGAAAAUAUAUUUUAUCUGCAUAUGCUUUUCUCGUGUCUAAAUAUCCCGCGAGAUGACGCUCGCGUACCUUUAACGAGAUACUUGUUUAACGACGAGAGGUAAUGUUAAAAAUGUAAGUUAAAUAAUUAUUUAAUUAUUUCAUAGCUAAUUGUUGUAUUGUAUACUUUUCAGUCAUGAGUCAAUUUCUUUUUUUAUAAUUUAGCUCAUUUUAAUACCAAUCGAACUCAUUAUUUCUAAGUAUACACACAAAUAACCUCAAAUUCUUAUUUUACAUAUUCUAUUAGUGUAUCUCACUAUA